RNAcentral lists this ribosomal RNA (465 nucleotides) under uncultured Klebsiella sp. RNAcentral describes it as "bacterial SSU rRNA". It matches the Rfam family "Bacterial small subunit ribosomal RNA", at positions 338 to 795 of the family's 1533-position model. The record is from RNAcentral. Lineage: Bacteria; Pseudomonadati; Pseudomonadota; Gammaproteobacteria; Enterobacterales; Enterobacteriaceae.
CCUACGGGUGGCUGCAGUGGGGAAUAUUGCACAAUGGGCGCAAGCCUGAUGCAGCCAUGCCGCGUGUGUGAAGAAGGCCUUCGGGUUGUAAAGCACUUUCAGCGGGGAGGAAGGCGUUAAGGUUAAUAACCUUGUCGAUUGACGUUACCCGCAGAAGAAGCACCGGCUAACUCCGUGCCAGCAGCCGCGGUAAUACGGAGGGUGCAAGCGUUAAUCGGAAUUACUGGGCGUAAAGCGCACGCAGGCGGUCUGUCAAGUCGGAUGUGAAAUCCCCGGGCUCAGCCUGGGAACUGCAUUCGAAACUGGCAGGCUAGAGUCUUGUAGAGGGGGGUAGAAUUCCAGGUGUAGCGGUGAAAUGCGUAGAGAUCUGGAGGAAUACCGGUGGCGAAGGCGGCCCCCUGGACAAAGACUGACGCUCAGGUGCGAAAGCGUGGGGAGCAAACAGGAUUAGAUACCCGUGUAGUC